UCCAAAGGUGAAUCUUUUGGUUGGUGAUUUUGAUGAUAGCCACAAAGCAAGCAGGCUGUAUGGUAGCCUUGAAAACCAACAGGCCACAAUCACAGUGAAAACCUCAGGUUGGCAGCCACUGGAGGAUACAAAAUGAGUUUGGAUCUCCUUCAAUGCCCCAUUCCCAGAGAACUGUCAUUAUUUGACCUGCUGGUAGUUCCCUAAAGGACGUGCAAGGAUGUUUUUAUUUGACUGGACACUUGAAGCUUGCCCUGUAUGAACAGCCCCCAUCUUCCCAUGCUUGUCAAAAAUCAGAGGCAACUAACACUGCGGCUUCCUGAGGGAACUCCGGAUGUGACUCCUGUUACAUGAAAAUGGAAGAGGUCAGAGUUGUCCAAGAGGGAGGCCAGCCACAUCCAGGCAGGGCCCCCAUGGUCAGAACCCUGCUAGAGCCAUCAAGGUCCCAGAUGAGUCUGGAAGUGUUAGUUGCAAAGAUAUGCAUUUACUUCUCUGGCUACAAAAAAGAAUAGAAAUGCACAAAGCAGAGCAGUGUGAAGAAGAAGAGGCGAUGACCCCUAGACCGACCAAAGCCCGUGCUCCACUGCCCAGUGCCUAUGUCCCACCACUGUCGCUGCCACCCUGCCCGAGAGAAAGGCUGAAGGGGAUGCUAAAGGAGAUAAAACCAAGGUUAAGUAGGAACUGCAGAGAAGAUCCACAAGGUUGUCUGCUAAACCUGCUCCUCCAAAGCCACAGCCGAAGCCCAGAAAGGCCUCUGCAAAGAAGAGAGAGAAGGUACCUACAGAGAAGAAGGGAAAAGCUGAUGCUGGCAAGGAGGGGAAUAACCCUGCAGAAAAUGGAGAUGCCAAAACAGACUAGGCACAGAAAGCUAAAGGUGCUGGAGAUGCCAAGUGAAGUGUGUGCAUUUUUGAUAACUGUGUACUUCUGGUGACUGUACAGUUUGAAAUACUAUUUUUUAAUCAAGUUUUAUAAAAAUGCAGAUUUUGUUUAGCUUUUUUUUUUUUUUUUAAGCUAUGUUAGUACACAGAAUACUUCAUUGUUGUUUUGGGGAGAAGGGCCAUA
Molecule: long non-coding RNA, 1059 nt
Filed under: Homo sapiens (human)
Lineage: Eukaryota; Metazoa; Chordata; Mammalia; Primates; Hominidae
Description: long non-coding RNA NONHSAT042266
Source: RNAcentral